CCCAUCCCCACAAACUCUCCUCAGUGAGCUCAAGACAUCGAUACCAUCAUCCCUGCGGAUAGCGACCCUUCAGCCCUUCAUCAGCCUGAAUUCCAGAACCCUUCCUCCUGCCCAGCCCCUGCGGCUCCGGAGAAAAUCCAGGCACUGCCACCCUCCCAGCCCUCCACACGGACUCUGAGCACCGCACCAGGCUCCGCAGUGGUUUCAGGGACUUUCUCCUCUCCCUGCUGCGGCUCCGGCUCCCUUCGAAAGCAAGCGGCUCCGCGUGUGCCUUUGCAAUCUGAGAAUGUGAGCCAGUCGGCAGGACAGCGGGGAAUGAAAUGAGAAGAGUCUACGAGCAACAAGAAAAGAAAACCCUCUGUGUGUGAUGAGAAGGCUUGGCUUGAUGCUGUCUCUUUAAAAAUUUGCUCAAAUCAUACAUUAAAAGGCAAACCUCUUCUAUCACAUACAUAUUUCAUCUGCACCUUGGAACUGUAAUUAAUGGCACAGGAGGCUUCAUUUGACAAGCUGUCCUCAGGGCAGACUUUUUACUUCUAUCUACAUCAACAGUGCUCUCUGCUACUGUUUCCCGUGGCAGAACUGCUCAGCCUCACCCUGCUCCAUAGCAGGGAGGAGAGCAGAUGUGAGGCUAAUCCACAUUUCUCUCUCCAUUGAUGGAUACUUCCCUCAGAUACAACAGGACUAAAGAGAAUAAUUUUUCAAAGAUGGAAGAAGACAUGUGAGGAGACACACAGCAGGAGGUGAAGAGACAACUCCUGUUUGUAAAGCCUGCCUGCUGUGUGAAAUGAUCAAUGCUAAUUCAAACUGAAUACGAUCGAAAUGGAACACCAAGGGCCAAAUUAGUCCCUGGUGCAGCACCAGUAACCCAAGGGCAGAUGAUUUGAUUUCACUGAACUUAUGCCAGGAGUGAACUUGACCCCCAGCGUUACGUGGCAUCCAACAGUAUGGCCAAGAAACCUGAAAUACAUCACAGGCAUCCAAACAGAGGUGUUCUGGCUGUGGCUGCUGCUCCAGCAUGUGUAGAGUUCUCAGUUCUUGAGCACUGUCAACCCUGACAACUAUUUCUGAUGGCCAUUUACCCCAUGCUUUUCAUAGCAGUGACGGUCAUUUAUGAAAAAGUUGCAGAGGUUCUCCAAAAAUACAAAUUAGCAGUUAGGUUAAUGUACUUACCAGAUAUUGGACAAGCUGUAUUUUUUCUAACCAAAUCAAUUGGGAAGAACAAAAAAGGGAACAAAGAGAGGUAACCUUUCUGUAAGAUCUGCCUGGUGUAACACAUGCUCAAACGAUGUGUACUGAAUCCAUCACACAGCAAGUCAGCCUGCAGCAGGAUGGAGAUGCACUGACAUUAACUCCAGGAAGAACUGAGGUGGUCUGAACCACAGGAUCCCAAGGGCUUUCAAACACUGCUUUAUGGAUCUUGGGUUUUGAGCAGGAAAGAACACAGGUUUCACUUUUCCCAUCAUUUUUGCAGCAUGUGGGAGCGGAGGCUGCUGAGCCUGGUUUCUCUGUCUGAGGGGCCCUGAGGUGCUGCAGUGCUGCCCAGCAGCUCUCUGCAGGGACAUGUGCCAUCAUGGCAGGGACCAUUUCCAGGCUCUGCCCAGCCUGUUUGCACAGACUCUUCUCUGCCUGUCCAGGGCCUGGGCAGCCACCCAGCAGCUGGGCAAGGAAGAGCUGAGCUCAGUGGGACAUCUGCCACCAGCUCUCAGGGUACUGGGCCAAUCCCCAGUAGUGGGUAAUACAGCCUGGUUAGAGACCAGGCACAUUCUCCUGAGAAUUUUAAUGCCCAAAAGUAGAAUUCCAUGUUUGGUGUUCUGUCUCUAGAGUUUACCCUGCUGAUCAUCUGCAUUUGCAUUGUAUUGAGCUUUUUCAUCUGGAAUCUGGCAGUAGCUAGCACUGCUAUCUCUUCUUACCAGUGAUUCAGAGACAUACAUACAUUGCCAGGUUGGAUGGGGCCCUGAGCAAUCUGGCCUAGUGAAAAGUGUCCUUGCAGGACAGUUGGAACUAGCUGAUUUUUAUGGUCUCUUCCCACUCUAAUCAUUCUAUGAUUCUAUAAAAUCUCAGACUUGGGAUGGCUCUGCAAGCUCAAACUAUUGGAUGAGAUUUUAUGUAACCAUAGCAAAAGCUUGGCUUUUUAUCUGGCUCUCUUUCUGGAUUGCAUCUGGGUUUAAUUUGUUUUUUGGAUCCUCCAAAGGAUUUAUUAUUUUGGUUGACUUAUCCACACCUUGUUAUCCACUACCUACAUGUCUCUUACUAUAUAAUUUAAUACAGCAAAACACUGCUUCAAGCUCA
Haemorhous mexicanus (house finch) is the source of this 2289-nucleotide long non-coding RNA. RefSeq lists it as uncharacterized. NCBI's taxonomy places the organism in Eukaryota, Metazoa, Chordata, Aves, Passeriformes, Fringillidae. The transcript has 2 exons. The record is from RefSeq and is a predicted model, not a curated record.